This is a long non-coding RNA of Felis catus (domestic cat), 1443 nucleotides long. RefSeq lists it as uncharacterized. The transcript is spliced from 2 exons. The record is from RefSeq and is a predicted model, not a curated record. NCBI's taxonomy places the organism in Eukaryota, Metazoa, Chordata, Mammalia, Carnivora, Felidae.
CCUCAUGCCUGUUAGAAUGGCCACCAUCGAAAGAACAAGAGGUAACAAGUGUUGGCGAGGGUGUGGAGAGAAGGGAACCGUGUGCCCUACUGGUGGGAAUGUAAACCAGUGAGGCCGCUGUGGGAAACAGAAUGCACGUUCCUCAAAAAAUUAGAAAUAGAAAUGCCAUAUGGUCGGGCACUUCCACUUCGGGGUCUGCAUCCAAAGGAGAUGGAAACAGGAUCUUGUGAGAUCCAGGCAGAGAUUGGGCACAUUCAGAGGGGUGUGGCCAGAGACCUAAAACAGGAUCUUGAAAAGACGUGGGCGUUCCCAUGUUUAUUGCAGCGUGAUUCGUAGUGGACACAAAGAAACAACCUAAAUGUCCACCAAUGGGUGGAUGGAGAAAGAAGACAUGGCAUACAUAUUGUAUCCAAUGGGCUAUUAUUAUACAGCCACGAGAAAGAAGGAAAUCCUGCCAUUUGCAACAACAAGGUCGAACCAUGGGGAUAUUACGCUAAGUGGAAUAAACCAGACGCAGAAAGACAAAUACUGUAUGAUGUCAUAUACGCGGAAUCUACAAAAGCCAAGGUCACAGAAACACAGACGUAAAAGACGGCUACCAGGGGGCUGUGGGAAAGGGGGAGACGUCGGUCAAGAUCACAGACUUCUAGCUCUAAGAGGAAUUUGAUGAAUGCUUCAAACAUGCCACGGACCGAAAGCGAGGGCCUUGUUACCAAUCCCAAUUAGGCAUUACAAAAGCCCCAUAAAUCUUGGUGAAUAUGUUACAGGGAAUUGAAAGCUGGAAUUGUACGGCUGGUGCACUAAAGAACACAGCAAUCAUUCUCCUAAAGGCCUCGUGUAAUUUUUGGUCUGCUUCGCAGCGUGUGUCUAUCGACAACUGGCCCGUUAUCGAUUUCCUAACCCUGAAGAACACGGCUGAUGGCUUCCGUUUUCCCGGCCAGCACGAGAUGAAGAGGCCAGAGGACGCUGACGGCCGGCUGUUUGCCUUACCAUUUGGGGACAUGUUAAUCCAAAGCGCGAAUGACCCACAGAAUCUGGGUGGCGCUGGCUUUUGAGAAUGGGAUGGAGUAUCGAUUUCUAUCCUGUUCUCUUGGUGUGUAAUUAAACAAACCACAGCCCCUGAGCGUGAGCUGGCCAGUCUUCCUCAUUAACAAGCUAAAUGAUGUCCCCUGCGAGCACCACGCACCUGUCGUGGCUCCGGGAGCACGGGAGCCGGUGGCUUCGUGACAGUUUGGACUUCCACGUUCUGCAGAACGCCAGCUCCAUUCAAAUAUGUGAUGGUUCAUUUUAGGGGUCCACCUGACUGGCUGUGGGGUGCCCGCACGUCGUCUCUGGGUGUGUCUGUGAGGGUGGCCCAGGAUGAGCUCAGCGUCCGAAUCCACAGACUUGGUAGCCUGCCGUCCCCGGUGUGGGUGGGCACCGUCUCAUCUGCGGAGGGCCUGA